Molecule: ribosomal RNA, 427 nt
Filed under: uncultured bacterium
Lineage: Bacteria
Description: partial 16S ribosomal RNA
Rfam family: Bacterial small subunit ribosomal RNA
Source: RNAcentral
UGGGGAAUAUUGCACAAUGGGCGCAAGCCUGAUGCAGCCAUGCCGCGUGUAUGAAGAAGGCCUUCGGGUUGUAAAGUACUUUCAGCGAGGAGGAAGGCGUUGUGGUUAAUAACCGCAGCGAUUGACGUUACUCGCAGAAGAAGCACCGGCUAACUCCGUGCCAGCAGCCGCGGUAAUACGGAGGGUGCAAGCGUUAAUCGGAAGUACUGGGUGUAAAGCGCACGCAGGCGGUCUGUCAAGUCGGAUGUGAAAUCCCCGGGCUCAACCUGGGAACUGCAUCCGAAACUGGCAGGCUAGAGUCUUGUAGAGGGGGGUAGAAUUCCAGGUGUAGCGGUGAAAUGCGUAGAGAUCUGGAGGAAUACCGGUGGCGAAGGCGGCCCCCUGGACAAAGACUGACGCUCAGGUGCGAAAGCGUGGGGAGCAAACA